CAAAAUCUUCUACAUUCCCCAGACAUAUCAAGACCAUGGCUCACUCUUCAGCUCAUGGUCUUGAUAUGUCUGGAGAAUGUGGAGGAUUUUG
This 91-nucleotide microRNA precursor is filed under the name Callithrix jacchus (white-tufted-ear marmoset). RNAcentral's name for it is "microRNA cja-mir-9934 precursor". Lineage: Eukaryota; Metazoa; Chordata; Mammalia; Primates; Cebidae. The record is from miRBase by way of RNAcentral.